GAUGAACGCUGGCGGCGUGCCUAAUACAUGCAAGUCGAGCGAACGGACGAGAAGCUUGCUUUUCUGAUGUUAGCGGCGGACGGGUGAGUAACACGUGGAUAACCUACCUAUAAGACUGGGAUAACUUCGGGAAACCGGAGCUAAUACCGGAUAAUAUUUUGAACCGCAUGGUUCAAAAGUGAAAGACGGUCUUGCUGUCACUUAUAGAUGGAUCCGCGCUGCAUUAGCUAGUUGGUAAGGUAACGGCUUACCAAGGCAACGAUGCAUAGCCGACCUGAGAGGGUGAUCGGCCACACUGGAACUGAGACACGGUCCAGACUCCUACGGGAGGCAGCAGUAGGGAAUCUUCCGCAAAGGGCGAAAGCCUGACGGAGCAACGCCGCGUGAGUGAUGAAGGUCUUCGGAUCGUAAAACUCUGUUAUUAGGGAAGAACAUAUGUGUAAGUAGCUGUGCACAUCUUGACGGUACCUAAUCAGAAAGCCACGGCUAACUACGUG
Molecule: ribosomal RNA, 497 nt
Filed under: uncultured bacterium
Lineage: Bacteria
Description: partial 16S ribosomal RNA
Rfam family: Bacterial small subunit ribosomal RNA
Source: RNAcentral